Molecule: ribosomal RNA, 253 nt
Filed under: uncultured bacterium
Lineage: Bacteria
Description: partial 16S ribosomal RNA
Rfam family: Bacterial small subunit ribosomal RNA
Source: RNAcentral
GACAGAGGGUGCAAACGUUGUUCGGAAUUACUGGGCGUAAAGCGCGUGUAGGCGGCCCUGUAAGUCGGGUGUGAAAUCCCACGGCUCAACCGUGGAAGUGCAUUCGAAACUACAGGGCUAGAGUUCUGGAGAGGAAGGUGGAAUGCUUGGUGUAGAGGUGAAAUUCGUAGAUAUCAAGCGGAACACCGGUGGCGAAGGCGGCCUUCUGGACAGUAACUGACGCUGAGACGCGAAAGCGUGGGGAGCAAACAGG